GAGGGAGCAAGAGGAGGUCGCGGCGAUGGGGCACGGGCUAGGGGUGCGCGUCGGAGCUGGAGGGAGCGAUGGCACCGGCGAGGGGAGCUAGGGGUAGAGGGACGCCGGAGGAGGAGCGGGAAGGAAGAGGGUGCGGCGGUGACCUCCGGUUGAGGCCGCGGGGACGGAGCAGAGGGUAGGAGAGGCGACGCUACGGAAGGGAGGAGGCAGCGGACGCCGGCACGGUCCUGGAGGCAGCAACGGGGACGUCGGAAGGGAGGAGGCGCAGCAGCGGAGGGGUACCGCGGCGCGGGCCGGAGGGCGCAGGCGGUAGCCGAGGAGACGAAGUGGGCAGGAAACGAGGCGGAGGUAGCGGCCGCUGGUGCUGGUCGGUGGCGGGGGGAACCUCGAGGGUACCGGCGGCGCGGGACAAGGCCCAGUGGAGGUGGACCUAGGCGGGGUUGGUGGUCCCUCGUCUCGGGGGCGCGCGACGAAGAAGCGGAGCGGAGGGAGGCGAGGUGGUGCGGCCGGAAGCCUCGGCAACGACCGCCGGCGUAGCAGCGGGCAGGUACCAGCGGUCGCGGCACACGAGGCGGCAGGGGCGCGGGACGACGGAGGAUCCCACGGCGUGCCAGCGGCAAGUAGAAGUUGGCACCCUGGCGUCAGGAGGAGGUUGUAGCAGGUCUAGGCCUACCGGAGGCGGCGGGAACGGCAAGGACCGGCCUUGACUGAGGCCACCGGGCAGGGGCAGCCUCAACUGGAGGUGGUGUCCGGUCGGGUCGCGGCGUAGAAGGAGUCGUACAACAAGGUAGCGGAGGAACGACGACGGUUUGCUCCGGGACCACAAGGAAGCAAAACCUGGCUGUUCUGGGCCUGAGGCUUGCGGUUCAUGGUGCUGUAGGUACAAGCAGAUGCCUUGCACAUGUAGAUGUGGCGGUUCUGGCCUGGCUGUUCAUGUGGUUGCAGCGCACAUGGUGAUGGCAGCUGGACUUGUAGAUGCUUUUGCACAUGUUGAUGGCAGCGGUGCACUUGUUGCUGAAGGUGAUGCUGCACUUGUUGAUGAAGGGUGCUGCUGGGCGCUCAUGGUGAUGAAGGAAGCUGCUUGCGCAAGGCGGGAUUUGCGUGCGAAGCUUCGAAGCCAAAGCAAGGCCUCAACACUCCUAAGCAAGCUGAUGCAGGCAAACAGAAGAAGUACCUGAGCAAGAAGAAGGAACGCCCUAAAGUCCGUUCUACUAGUAUGGGAGCUUUAGUGAUGAUAGUUACGAUACUACGGAUGGUAAACGAACAGUCGGAGGGUUUAACGGUACAGUUUGGAGAUUGGGUGGUACAGGAUCGUUUGGCACUAACCGAUACAAUGGCGAAACGAGUCGGGGAGAAUAUCGCAACAAUCAACGUCCACUUCUAACUUCAAACAAGGAACAACCUUGUACCUCUACAACAAGGGACAACCUUGUACAAAUGAACAAC
RNAcentral lists this ribosomal RNA (1446 nucleotides) under Triticum aestivum (bread wheat). Its description in RNAcentral is "partial small subunit ribosomal RNA". Lineage: Eukaryota; Viridiplantae; Streptophyta; Magnoliopsida; Poales; Poaceae. The record is from RNAcentral.